AUACGUAGGUGGCAAGCGUUAUCCGGAUUUACUGGGUGUAAAGGGCGUGCAGCCGGGACGGCAAGUCAGAUGUGAAAUCCAUGGGCUUGACCAAUGAACUGCAUUUGAAACUGUCGUUCUUGAGUACCGGAGGGGCAAUCGGAAUUCCUAGUGUAGCGGUGAAAUGCGUAGAUAUUAGGAGGAACACCAGUGGCGAAGGCGGAUUGCUGGACGGCAACUGACGGUGAGGCGCGAAAGUGUGGGGAGCAAACAGGAUUAGAUACCCUGGUAGUCCACACUGUAAACGAUGGAUACUAGGUGUGCGGGGACUGACCCCCUGCGUGCCGGCGUUAACACAAUAAGUAUCCCACCUGGGGAGUACGAUCGCAAGGCUAAAACUCAAAUGAAUUGACGGGG
This 396-nucleotide ribosomal RNA is filed under the name uncultured bacterium. RNAcentral describes it as "partial 16S ribosomal RNA". It matches the Rfam family "Bacterial small subunit ribosomal RNA", at positions 523 to 918 of the family's 1533-position model. The record is from RNAcentral.